This 460-nucleotide ribosomal RNA is filed under the name uncultured bacterium. Its description in RNAcentral is "partial 16S ribosomal RNA". It matches the Rfam family "Bacterial small subunit ribosomal RNA", at positions 338 to 795 of the family's 1533-position model. The record is from RNAcentral.
CCUACGGGUGGCAGCAGUGAGGAAUAUUGGUCAAUGGGCGAGAGCCUGAACCAGCCAAGUCGCGUGAGGGAGUACUGCCCUAUGGGUUGUAAACUUCUUUUAUAAAGGAAUAAAGUGAGGCACGUGUGCCUUUUUGUAUGUACUUUAUGAAUAAGGAUCGGCUAACUCCGUGCCAGCAGCCGCGGUAAUACGGAGGAUCCGAGCGUUAUCCGGAUUUAUUGGGUUUAAAGGGAGCGUAGAUGGGUUGUUAAGUCAGUUGUGAAAGUUUGCGGCUCAACCGUAAAAUUGCAGUUGAAACUGGCAGUCUUGAGUACAGUAGAGGUGGGCGGAAUUCGUGGUGUAGCGGUGAAAUGCUUAGAUAUCACGAAGAACUCCGAUUGCGAAGACAGCUCACUGGACUGCAACUGACACUGAUGCUCGAAAGUGUGGGUAUCAAACAGGAUUAGAUACCCGGGUAGUC